GGCCACAUCAAGUUGUAACAUCGGUUCUCGUACGAUCACCGAAGUUAAGCAAUCUCGAGCCUGGUCAGUACUUAGGUGGGUGACCGUUUGGGAAUAUCAGAUGCUGUAAG
Non-coding RNA from Acanthosepion pharaonis, 110 nucleotides. The record is from the annotation of a GenBank genome assembly. Lineage: Eukaryota; Metazoa; Mollusca; Cephalopoda; Sepiida; Sepiidae.